RNAcentral lists this ribosomal RNA (1009 nucleotides) under Paraburkholderia sediminicola. Its description in RNAcentral is "bacterial SSU rRNA". It matches the Rfam family "Bacterial small subunit ribosomal RNA", at positions 60 to 1061 of the family's 1533-position model. Lineage: Bacteria; Pseudomonadati; Pseudomonadota; Betaproteobacteria; Burkholderiales; Burkholderiaceae. The record is from RNAcentral.
AGUCGAACGGCAGCACGGGAGCAAUCCUGGUGGCGAGUGGCGAACGGGUGAGUAAUACAUCGGAACGUGUCCUGUAGUGGGGGAUAGCCCGGCGAAAGCCGGAUUAAUACCGCAUACGCUCUGCGGAGGAAAGCGGGGGAUCCUUCGGGACCUCGCGCUACAGGGGCGGCCGAUGGCAGAUUAGCUAGUUGGUGGGGUAAAGGCCUACCAAGGCGACGAUCUGUAGCUGGUCUGAGAGGACGACCAGCCACACUGGGACUGAGACACGGCCCAGACUCCUACGGGAGGCAGCAGUGGGGAAUUUUGGACAAUGGGCGAAAGCCUGAUCCAGCAAUGCCGCGUGUGUGAAGAAGGCCUUCGGGUUGUAAAGCACUUUUGUCCGGAAAGAAAACCUCCGCCCUAAUAYGGUGGGGGGAUGACGGUACCGGAAGAAUAAGCACCGGCUAACUACGUGCCAGCAGCCGCGGUAAUACGUAGGGUGCAAGCGUUAAUCGGAAUUACUGGGCGUAAAGCGUGCGCAGGCGGUCCGCUAAGACAGAUGUGAAAUCCCCGGGCUUAACCUGGGAACUGCAUUUGUGACUGGCGGGCUAGAGUAUGGCAGAGGGGGGUAGAAUUCCACGUGUAGCAGUGAAAUGCGUAGAGAUGUGGAGGAAUACCGAUGGCGAAGGCAGCCCCCUGGGCCAAUACUGACGCUCAUGCACGAAAGCGUGGGGAGCAAACAGGAUUAGAUACCCUGGUAGUCCACGCCCUAAACGAUGUCAACUAGUUGUCGGGUCUUCAUUGACUUGGUAACGUAGCUAACGCGUGAAGUUGACCGCCUGGGGAGUACGGUCGCAAGAUUAAAACUCAAAGGAAUUGACGGGGACCCGCACAAGCGGUGGAUGAUGUGGAUUAAUUCGAUGCAACGCGAAAAACCUUACCUACCCUUGACAUGUAUGGAAUCCUGCUGAGAGGUGGGAGUGCCCGAAAGGGAGCCAUAACACAGGUGCUGCAUGGCUGUCGUCAGCUC